GGAAGUCUGAGAUAGAGUACUAUGCUAUGUUGGCAAAGAUUGGAGUCCACCACUACAAUGGAAGUGAGUUUUCUUGUCUAUGUGCUCGUAGUUGUCUAAAUGCUGCCUUUAAUGCCUCCUUCUGUCCUUCCUCUGUAUGGAUGUUAUGAAGUAAUUUGCUUCGUCUAUGUGCUCUUAGAAUGUCUAAAUACUGCCUUUAAUGCCUCCUUUAUAUGGUGUUAUGAAGUAAUUUGCUUCUGUUUGUAUGUUUCCAUGUUAAUUAGAAGUGUCAUUUUAUUUAUAGUUUUGGUUGAAUGUCUCUUAUGUUUGGUCAAGUCAUGGAAAAUGUUACACUCGUAUUUCUCUUUUAACAUUGGUUAGCUUAUCAAAGGCCUUAUAAUGUUAUCAUAUUUGGAGUGCAUACGUCCAAAGUUUUGUUGUUGGAUGGAUUGAAUGGUAUUAAGUCUAAGAUUGAACAAUCAGGAGAUACAAUGCAACAAAAAGAAAAAGCCUCGAUAGAUGAGAUGCGUUAUGGGUAAAUGUUACUUGUUUGUUGGGUAUAAGAUUGACUAACCAAUCUAUAAAUCAAAAUAGUGUCUGGAAUAUUACUCUAAGCUUAGUGUCUUGCAUAUGAAUAUCUGUGUUUUCUGUGGUCACUUCUCUCGUCUUAAAUGUGUUGGUUUAUUCUUAUAGCUUGAAAUUCAAUCUAUUAAAGAAGAAUAACAAUAGGAACUGCGUUUUUUUCCAGGUUUCAUAGAGGGCUAACACCUCUCUCAAUAGAAAUCUGCAAGUUGUUUGUGGAGUAUUUUUAGCAUAUUGUUCUUUGCAAG
Molecule: long non-coding RNA, 809 nt
Filed under: Nicotiana benthamiana
Lineage: Eukaryota; Viridiplantae; Streptophyta; Magnoliopsida; Solanales; Solanaceae
Description: long non-coding RNA (NBEN_LNC018611)
Source: RNAcentral